UAAUAGACGAACCAGCUUGCUUUCUAUGGGAAGAAAUUUGUUUAGCGUUUCCAGAUACAAAGAUUGUUUUGGCUAUGAGAGAAAAUGAUGAAGUGUGGUUUGAAAGUCUAAAACAGCAUUAUAAGAAAGAAGAAUGUUUAUACGAAGAUUAUUUGGUGAAAUACCUUUCUCCUACAGGUUGGCGAAAGUACAGAAACAUAAGACUACCGAUGGAUAGAAUAUUCUACGGUGUUUCAGAAAUGACAACAAAACAAUUGAAGAAAACAAAAGCAUUUUGAAGUUGAAGUAUAGGGCACACAACAAUUACGUUUCGCAGGCAGCUCCCAAAGACAAAUUGUUGAUGUUUAAAUGCUCCGACGGAUGGUUACCGCUGUGACAGUUUUUGAAUCUUCCGGUUCCUAACGUUCCGUUUCCCCACAGUAAUAAAGGCGGCGGUAGCUAUAUAGAUCGUGAAAGCCACCCUCAAGCAGUGAAAAUGAGACAUGAAGUUUACCAGAGCAUAGCCGUCAUAUUCAGCAUUUCACUUGGAAUGUUUCUUUACUUGUUGUGGUAGUUAGUACUGGGGCAUUUGAAUAUAUUAUAUUUUAAUGUGCAAUGUUUUUGGUAUCUUUAUUCAAGAUAUUGGUGUUUAAAAUUUUUAUUAUAUUCAUGUGUACACUGGACAUUCGUGCACGAAUCACAUUUUUUAUCAAAAUUAUUUCAGGUUAUGUUCGCUGCGCCAAUCUAAUCUAUCUAAUUAUGUAACGGCUACCGUAUCUGUGGGUCUAGUAUAGAUCAGUAUCGAAAGUACUUUUAGUAAGAGUGGCGUAAAUAGACCUCCUUUUCAAAAUUCCACCUGACUGUGUCAUCCCAAAAUUACGUCACUGCUACGUUUUUGACUAUGAAUACUUUUAUUGAGGUACAUCGCCACUCAUAACCCUGAUUUUGUGCUCAACAAAAAUGUUGAAGAUUAUUAAAAAAGUUUAACAUUGACCAAUGGAAACAGGAACGGUUUAACACUACUAAAUUAUACUAUUAGCAAAUUAUAUUCCCAGAAAACAUCAGGUAUUUAAUUGGAAGAUUUUAGAAAAUGGGCUUUCAACUGGAGAACGAAUUAGACAUUGGUCAGAUGAAGCAAAUGGCAAUUGCGUAUUUUGUGACAGAGCGAUAGAAGAUUGUAUACAUUUAUUUUUUUAAUUGUGAUUAUAUAAAAUCUUUUUAGAAAAGGCUAAAUUUAUCAAAUUAUACAGAACAUAGUAUUUUCACCCAAAAUGUUGAAAUUAAAUCAUUAAACCUAAUUAUCUCUUGUGGUAAAGCAGCAAUUUGGAAUUUCAGAAAUGGCAUAAUAUUUCAAGAAUUGGAAACCUAUUAGUCCAUACUUCGAACGAUGUUCAAAUGUGUGGUGAAAGGAUCUAUAAGGGUUAUGAAUGAGUUUAUAAAAUGGGAAAUAUUAAGAGAUGAGAAAAUUGAAAUUCUUUUAGAAAAAUCUGUGAUGCUGUGAAGUUUUCAUAUCCGUUAUCUAAAAAAAAUAUUAUUUAGAUAGUUAUAAUGCGAUUGUAUGUUUAUUGUGAGUACAUGAAAAGUAUG
Non-coding RNA from Styela clava, 1566 nucleotides. Lineage: Eukaryota; Metazoa; Chordata; Ascidiacea; Stolidobranchia; Styelidae. The record is from RefSeq and is a predicted model, not a curated record.